AAUGGUGGGAUCGCACAGGUGAUCACCUCUUCCCAUUCCGAACAGAGAAGUUAAGCCCUGUAGCACCGAUGGUACUGCCCUCACAAGGUGGGAGAGUAGGUCCCCGCCACCU
This 112-nucleotide ribosomal RNA is filed under the name Rhodocytophaga aerolata. The record is from RNAcentral. RNAcentral also lists the same sequence under 1 other name. Lineage: Bacteria; Pseudomonadati; Bacteroidota; Cytophagia; Cytophagales; Rhodocytophagaceae.